UGGCGUCUAAUCAGCACGGCCCUUACGUCCGUGGCUACACAGGUGUUACAAUGGGUGCUACAGAGGGAAGCUAUAUGGCGACAUGUAGCGAAUCUAAAAAGGCAUCCCCAGUUCGGACUGGAGUCUGCAACCCGACUCCACGAAGCUGGAUUCGCUAGUAAUCGCGCAUCAGCCAUGGCGCGGUGAAUACGUUCCCGGGCCUUGUACACACCGCCCGUCAAGCCAUGAAAGCCGGGAGUGCCUGAAAGCCGUGACCGCAAGGAGCGGCCUAGGGUAAGACCGGUGAUUGGGGCUAAGUCGUAACAAGGUAACCGUA
RNAcentral lists this ribosomal RNA (316 nucleotides) under uncultured bacterium. RNAcentral describes it as "bacterial SSU rRNA". It matches the Rfam family "Bacterial small subunit ribosomal RNA", at positions 1180 to 1504 of the family's 1533-position model. The record is from RNAcentral.